Molecule: ribosomal RNA, 254 nt
Filed under: uncultured bacterium
Lineage: Bacteria
Description: partial 16S ribosomal RNA
Rfam family: Bacterial small subunit ribosomal RNA
Source: RNAcentral
UACGGGGGGAGCAAGCGUUGUUCGGAGUUACUGGGCGUAAAGGGCGCGUAGGCGGCCACCGCAAGUCGAUUGUGAAAUCUCCGGGCUUAACCCGGAAAGGUCAACCGAUACUGCGGGGCUAGAGUGCAGAAGGGGCAACUGGAAUUCUCGGUGUAGCGGUGAAAUGCGUAGAUAUCGAGAGGAACACCUGCGGCGAAGGCGGGUUGCUGGGCUGACACUGACGCUGAAGUGCGAAAGCUAGGGGAGCGAACGGG